RNAcentral lists this ribosomal RNA (331 nucleotides) under uncultured bacterium. Its description in RNAcentral is "bacterial SSU rRNA". It matches the Rfam family "Bacterial small subunit ribosomal RNA", at positions 568 to 898 of the family's 1533-position model. The record is from RNAcentral.
CGCGUAGGCGGCCUAUCAAGUCAGGCGUGAAAGCCCCGGGCUCAACCUGGGAAUUGCGCUUGGGACUGACAGGCUGGAGAUCGGGAGAGGAGCGUGGAAUUCCCAGUGUAGAGGUGAAAUUCGUAGAUAUUGGGAAGAACACCGGUGGCGAAGGCGGCGCUCUGGACCGACACUGACGCUGAGGCGCGAAAGCGUGGGGAGCAAACAGGAUUAGAUACCCUGGUAGUCCACGCUGUAAACGAUGUGUGCUAGACGUUGGGGAGCCUAGCUCCUCGGUGUCGCCGCUAACGCUGUAAGCACACCGCCUGGGGAGUACGGCCGCAAGGUUAAA